CUAAUAUUCGGAAACGAUAUUAAAAGAGUCGACUCGAAACAAGACACGACUUAAUAUGUGUGCAGGUUAGAGUUGAUGUUUUUGACAUGUAUAAAUAACGAAUCAUGUCCGGGUUCAAAUGUUCAACCCAGCAAACUGUCAACCUGACACGACUAACAUUUUAACACCCCUAAUUAUAUAAUACUCUAAUUUAUAACAAUUCUAUGCAAUGAAGGUUGUACAUGUUGCUUAAAGUGAGUUUUGUGCUUUUAUUACUUGAAACCUUAGCUUUGGAAGUUGUACAUUUCUUUCUACCAUGUCCAACACAUAUACCUGUCCUCAACACCCUUGCCCAAUACCCACCGUCGUCUCCGGUUGGCCACCAUCAUCGGAAAGUCCACUCUUUUUCCUGCCUUGGUGGAUCAGCUUGAAAAUGAACAAGAAGAAGAUAUGCCCGAUUGUUCUGGUCAUUCUCUUAUUACAGAGUAUGAACGCCGUUGAAAGCUCUGAGUUCUUCACUAUAAGUGGUUGGAGUGCUAGAGCUAACAAGCAGUCGUAAGUUCCCAAUAUCUUUGAACAUUGAUGUCCACCAGGUGUUUAAGUUAAUUAGGGUAGAAACAUAUGUCUAUGGAUGCUAUUACCUGCUACUAUAACAUUGAUGCCCACCAGGUGUUUGUGUAUAUGUCUCAGUGACCAUAGCAUAAGAUGUAGUUGAAUUAUGUUGGGUUUUAUAACUAAAGCAUGCAAUUCGCAUGCCCUGUCAUAUAUUUUAUAAUAGUAUAAUUUGUAUCAUUUCUAUGAUAUAAAGGCCGUACCUUGUGCUUAAAUGGUGUUUCUUUGAAAUAGAUAGACAUAUUCCUUUUCUUAUAGAAAUCAUGCCGCCAAACUCAUACAUACACAUCUAGAGAGAGAGAAUGAGAAUGGCGUCGCAUCAGAGAGAGAGAGAGAGAGACCGAUGAAAGGGAGAGGAAGCCGGCCACCCCAACCUGAUGAAGGGGAUGAUGGCGACGGCUUAUGGCUGAGGUCUUUAUUCCGACAGCCAGAUUGGCAGCGAUGGCGGCUAGGGUUCGAGUUUAGGGGUUUUGAAACCAGAUUGUGAAGGUGUUGAGGACAACCAAUAGUCGGAGAAACUAUUUAAACAGGUAGCUGUACCUAUGGCUUAAUUUGUUUUUCGUGCAUAUUUAAGGUGUACAUCUGGUUAUGUUAGUUGUACACUUUUGCAAGCUCUAUGUUUCAUAUGGGUUUUAGAGACAUAGAAAGACGGUGGAGUUUACGGUGAUGUACCCGAAGGCGAACGGCGUCGCUUCUCACUUCCGAUGCGUACAUGACCGCCACAAAAAAAUCAGCGACGAGGAGUGUAAUCCGGUGAAGUCUGACGUGUUUCCGUCUGGCUAUUUAGGUUUCUUGUGGUGCUUGGGUUGUAAGCUUCCAAAGAAGAGGGUUUAUACAUGUACAUCUCACCCACACCCACGCACCUGAUUUUUUAGUUGCCUUUUUUCAAUUUUGUUCUUAUCUCUAUGUUCGCCAAUAUAUCUCUUAUCGGGUCGGCCCUUAUUAUGUUUGUAUCCAAAACCGUGUUUUGUGGCUAUGCGCAUGUAGAAUUACUACUCUAUGUAAACAAAACAUAGGAUCGUAUAGGUUUUGGUGUAGUGGAAAGGAAUAACUUGGAUAUCUCAGGUAACAUCUUUGUUGCAGCCUUUUUCUACAAUCGUGGUUGCUACAAUUGAAGAUGGAUGUAUGAGAUGAUUUACCAGUAGCAAGUGAAACUGAUAAUCAAGCAGCAAUAGAACCUCACAAAAACAAGCAGGGUUACAUUUCCCAAUCUGCUGUGGUAUUAUGCUGUCCGUUGGAUCUGUUGCAAAGGUUUGCUAAUCUCCUUCAAAAGGCUAUAAAGUCAGACCGUAUAAUUAACAACAACCUUAAUGAGCUAACCAAACUGGUUAGUAGCAUCUGCCAAAAACAAGCCGCAUUACAAGUUGAAGUAGACGUGCUUAGCACACUUUUCUAGGGAAAACGAUGUUAAUGAAGAAAAAACUUAUAUGUCGUUAGUAGGUUAAAUAGUUGGUUGUUAAUUUUGGUUACCAAAUGUAAACAAUAAACAAUAAACAAUUGUACAUAUAUUUCGGUAUUUAUCGUAAUCUAAGUUUGUAAACAAAAUCACCAAAAGUUUGACAACAUAUGCUCAAGCCCCCGCCGCAUCGCGGCGGGGCA
This is a long non-coding RNA of Helianthus annuus (common sunflower), 2190 nucleotides long. RefSeq lists it as uncharacterized. Lineage: Eukaryota; Viridiplantae; Streptophyta; Magnoliopsida; Asterales; Asteraceae. The transcript has 3 exons. The record is from RefSeq and is a predicted model, not a curated record.